CCGCUGAAUUUAAGCAUAUAAAUAAGCGGUGGAAAAGAAACCAAACGGGAUACCCUGAGUAAUGGCGAACGAAAAGGGUAGAGCUCAGCGCUAAGUCCUGUCGUCAUUGGGCGUACAGGAGGUGCAGCGUGAAAGUAGCAGUGCAUCGUGCUAAGUCUGUCGCAAUGCAAGUUCCUCUGACAAGGACUCUUCCAUAGCGGGUGCUAGGCCCAUAGCGUUGCGAGACUCUGCGCGCAAACUGUUGCUUACUAGAGUCAGGUUGCUUGAGAGUGCAGCCUAAAGUAGGUGGUAAACUCCACCUAAGGCUAAAUAUUACAGCGAGACCGAUAGCAAACAAGUACCGUGAGGGAAAGUUGCAAAGAACUUUGAAUGAGAGAGUU
Molecule: ribosomal RNA, 380 nt
Filed under: Simulium damnosum complex sp. SD10
Lineage: Eukaryota; Metazoa; Arthropoda; Insecta; Diptera; Simuliidae
Description: eukaryotic LSU rRNA
Rfam family: Eukaryotic large subunit ribosomal RNA
Source: RNAcentral